UACACCUACGGGGGGCAGCAGUGGGGAAUAUUGCACAAUGGGGGAAACCCUGAUGCAGCGACGCCGCGUGAGUGAAGAAGUAAUUCGUUACGUAAAGCUCUAUCAGCAGGGAAGAAAAUGACGGUACCUGAGUAAGAAGCUCCGGCUAACUACGUGCCAGCAGCCGCGGUAAUACGUGGGGAGCAAGCGUUAUCCGGAUUUACUGGGUGUAAAGGGCGUGUAGGCGGGCAUGCAAGCCAGAAGUGAAAUCUGGGGGCUUAACCCCCAAACUGCUUUUGGAACUGCGUGUCUUGAGUGAUGGAGAG
Molecule: ribosomal RNA, 305 nt
Filed under: uncultured bacterium
Lineage: Bacteria
Description: bacterial SSU rRNA
Rfam family: Bacterial small subunit ribosomal RNA
Source: RNAcentral